RNAcentral lists this ribosomal RNA (468 nucleotides) under uncultured bacterium. Its description in RNAcentral is "partial 16S ribosomal RNA". It matches the Rfam family "Bacterial small subunit ribosomal RNA", at positions 28 to 507 of the family's 1533-position model. The record is from RNAcentral.
GACGAACGCUGGCGGCGUGCUUAACACAUGCAAGUCGAACGGAAGGGCCCUGCUUUUGUGGGGUGCUCGAGUGGCGAACGGGUGAGUAACACGUGAGUAACCUGCCCUUGACUUUGGGAUAACUUCAGGAAACUGGGGCUAAUACCGGAUAGGAGCUCCUGCUGCACGGUGGGGGUUGGAAAGUUUCGGCGGUUGGGGAUGGACUCGCGGCUUAUCAGCUUGUUGGUGGGGUAGUGGCUUACCAAGGCUUUGACGGGUAGCCGGCCUGAGAGGGUGACCGGCCACAUUGGGACUGAGAUACGGCCCAGACUCCUACGGGAGGCAGCAGUGGGGAAUAUUGCACAAUGGGCGGAAGCCUGAUGCAGCAACGCCGCGUGCGGGAUGACGGCCUUCGGGUUGUAAACCGCUUUCGCCUGUGACGAAGCGUGAGUGACGGUAAUGGGUAAAGAAGCACCGGCUAACUACGUG